RNAcentral lists this ribosomal RNA (206 nucleotides) under uncultured bacterium. RNAcentral describes it as "partial 16S ribosomal RNA". It matches the Rfam family "Bacterial small subunit ribosomal RNA", at positions 524 to 723 of the family's 1533-position model. The record is from RNAcentral.
UACGUAGGGGGGCAAGCGUUGUCCGGAUUUAUUGGGCGUAAAGAGCGUGUAGGCGGCCAGGUAGGUCCGUUUGUGAAAAACUCGAGGCUCAACCUCGAGACGUCGGCGGAAACCCUCUGGCUAGAGUCCGGAAGAGGAGAGUGGAAUUCCUGGUGUAGCGGUGAAAUGCGCAGAAUAUCAGGAAGAACACCCCGUGGCGAAGGGCG